RNAcentral lists this ribosomal RNA (253 nucleotides) under uncultured bacterium. Its description in RNAcentral is "partial 16S ribosomal RNA". It matches the Rfam family "Bacterial small subunit ribosomal RNA", at positions 524 to 776 of the family's 1533-position model. The record is from RNAcentral.
UACAGAGGUCUCAAGCGUUGUUCGGAUUCAUUGGGCGUAAAGGGUGCGUAGGCGGCGCGGUAAGUCGGGUGUGAAAUCUCGGGGCUUAACUCCGAAACUGCAUUCGAUACUGCCGUGCUUGAGGACUGGAGAGGAGACUGGAAUUUACGGUGUAGCGGUGAAAUGCGUAGAUAUCGGGAAGAACACCUAUGGCGAAGGCAGCUCUCUGGGACGGUACUGACGCUGAGACGCGAAAGCGUGGGGAGCGAACAGG